Molecule: small nucleolar RNA, 106 nt
Filed under: Oryza longistaminata (longstamen rice)
Lineage: Eukaryota; Viridiplantae; Streptophyta; Magnoliopsida; Poales; Poaceae
Description: snoRNA snoR71
Rfam family: Plant small nucleolar RNA R71
About the family: R71 is a member of the C/D box family of snoRNAs containing the C (UGAUGA) and D (CUGA) box motifs. Multiple nearly identical copies of this snoRNA have been identified in Arabidopsis, and it is thought to function as a 2'-O-ribose methylation guide for 18S ribosomal RNA.
Source: RNAcentral
AUCCCAUGAUGAGGAAGGCGGCCAAAUAUUCCUGAAGUUGUUCCCAUGCCUCAGGAAUGGACUCGUCACUCGUCUACUGGAAACUUGAGAACCUUCCACGAAGGGC